GAUUAACGCUAGCGGCAGGCCUAAUACAUGCAAGUCGAACGGCAGCACGGGUAGCAAUACCUGGUGGCGAGUGGCGCACGGGUGCGUAACACGUAUGCAAUCUACCUUUAACUGGGGAAUAACCCCUCGAAAGAGGGGCUAAUACCGCAUAACACUUCGAUGGGACAUCCCAAUGAAGUCAAACCUACGGGGGUUAAAGAUGAACAUGCGUCCGAUUAGCUAGUUGGCGAGGAACGGCUCACCAAGGCAACGAUCGGUAGGGGAUCUGAGAGGAUGAUCCCCCACACUGGUACUGAGACACGGACCAGACUCCUACGGGAGGGCAGCAGUAAGGAAGUAUUGGACAAUGGGCGCAAGCCUGAUCCAGCCAUGCCGCGUGCAGGAUGAAAGUGCUAUGCACU
This 401-nucleotide ribosomal RNA is filed under the name uncultured bacterium. Its description in RNAcentral is "bacterial SSU rRNA". It matches the Rfam family "Bacterial small subunit ribosomal RNA", at positions 28 to 424 of the family's 1533-position model. The record is from RNAcentral.